GGGCUGUAGCUCAGUUGGGAGAGCGCUUGAAUGGCAUUCAAGAGGUCAGGGGUUCGAUUCCCCUCAGCUCC
This 71-nucleotide transfer RNA is filed under the name uncultured Commensalibacter sp. It matches the Rfam family "tRNA". Rfam says of the family: Transfer RNA (tRNA) molecules are approximately 80 nucleotides in length. Lineage: Bacteria; Pseudomonadati; Pseudomonadota; Alphaproteobacteria; Acetobacterales; Acetobacteraceae. RNAcentral also lists the same sequence under 1 other name. The record is from RNAcentral.